RNAcentral lists this ribosomal RNA (435 nucleotides) under uncultured bacterium. RNAcentral describes it as "bacterial SSU rRNA". It matches the Rfam family "Bacterial small subunit ribosomal RNA", at positions 341 to 792 of the family's 1533-position model. The record is from RNAcentral.
ACGGAAGGCAGCAGUGGGGAAUCUUGCACAAUGGGGGAAACCCUGAUGCAGCGACGCCGCGUGAGCGAUGAAGCCCUUCGGGGUGUAAAGCUCUUUCGGCAGGGAAGAUGGUGACGGUACCUGCAGAAGCAGCUGCGGCUAACUACGUGCCAGCAGCCGCGGUAAUACGUAGGCAGCGAGCGUUGUUCGGAGUUACUGGGCGUAAAGGGUGCGUAGGCGGCCUAUUAAGUUUGUCGUGAAAUCUCCCGGCUCAACUGGGAGGGUGCGGCGGAUACUGAUGGGCUUGGAGUGCGGGAGAGGAGAGUGGAAUUCCUGGUGUAGCGGUGAAAUGCGUAGAUAUCAGGAGGAACACCGGCGGUGUAGACGGCUCUCUGGACCGUAACUGACGCUGAGGCACGAAAGCGUGGGUAGCAAACAGGAUUAGAUACCCUGGUA